CUUCAGUAAAAUUAUAAUAUCACUGGUAAUACAUGCAGAGAUUAGCUGACUUCCACGAUCUUUGGAGUGGAGUUCCAUCAAGCUACUUCAGUUUAUAAGUUUCGAGAUGUACUAUCUCAUCCACUUGAUAAAGAUCUUUCCAAUUAGGUGCUAGCUUUCCCCGCUCUAUAGGCUGUGAGACCUCAGAACACUGCAGCACCA
This 201-nucleotide long non-coding RNA is filed under the name Elaeis guineensis (African oil palm). RNAcentral's name for it is "long non-coding RNA (EGUI_LNC019978)". The record is from RNAcentral. Lineage: Eukaryota; Viridiplantae; Streptophyta; Magnoliopsida; Arecales; Arecaceae.